This 355-nucleotide ribosomal RNA is filed under the name Nanosynbacter sp. Its description in RNAcentral is "bacterial SSU rRNA". It matches the Rfam family "Bacterial small subunit ribosomal RNA", at positions 1 to 369 of the family's 1533-position model. The record is from RNAcentral. Lineage: Bacteria; Bacillati; Minisyncoccota; Nanosynbacteria; Nanosynbacterales; Nanosynbacteraceae.
AUGGAGAGUUUGAUCCUGGCUCAGGAUGAAUGCUGGCGGCGUGCCUAACACAUGCAAGUCGAGCGGCAGCGAGGGGUGCUUGCACCCUGUCGGCGAGCGGCGGACGGCUGAGUAACGCGUGGGAAUCUACCCUAAAGUGAGGGAUAACCGCCCGAAAGGGUGGCUAAUACCGCAUAUGAUCUUCGGAUUAAAGGAUUUAUCCGCUUUAGGAAGAGCCCGCGUUAGAUUAGGUAGUUGGUAGGGUAAUGGCCUACCAAGCCAACGAUCUAUAGCUGGUCUGAGAGGAUGAUCAGCCAGACUGGAACUGAGACACGGUCCAGACUCCUACGGGAGGCAGCAGUGAGGAAUCUUCCAC